Molecule: transfer RNA, 71 nt
Filed under: Clostridioides difficile
Lineage: Bacteria; Bacillati; Bacillota; Clostridia; Peptostreptococcales; Peptostreptococcaceae
Description: tRNA-OTHER
Rfam family: tRNA
About the family: Transfer RNA (tRNA) molecules are approximately 80 nucleotides in length.
Source: RNAcentral
GGGACUAUAGCUCAGCUGGGAGAGCACCUUUACAAGCAGGGUCACAGGUUCGAGCCCUGUUAGUCCCACCA